UCCGGUUUGUCACCGGCAGUCUCCUAUGAGUCCCCAACUUAAUGCUAGCAACUAGGGAUAGGGGUUGCGCUCGUUACGGGACUUAACCCAACAUCACACGACACGAGCUGACGACGGCCAUGCAGCACCUGUCUUACAGUUCCCGAAGGCACCAAUCCAUCUCUGGAAAGUUCUGUAGAUGUCAAGGCCAGGUAAGGUUCUUCGCGUUGCGUCGAAUUAAACCACAUGCUCCACCGCUUGUGCGGGCCCCCGUCAAUUCCUUUGAGUUUUAGCCUUGCGGCCGUACUCCCCAGGCGGGGUGCUUAAUGCGUUAGCUCCGGCACGGAGAGGGUUGAAGACCUCCCCACACCUAGCACCCAACGUUUACGGCUGGGACUAC
RNAcentral lists this unclassified non-coding RNA (379 nucleotides) under uncultured bacterium. Its description in RNAcentral is "contains 16S-23S intergenic spacer region". The record is from RNAcentral.